RNAcentral lists this ribosomal RNA (551 nucleotides) under uncultured bacterium. Its description in RNAcentral is "bacterial SSU rRNA". It matches the Rfam family "Bacterial small subunit ribosomal RNA", at positions 355 to 896 of the family's 1533-position model. The record is from RNAcentral.
UGGGGAAUCUUGCGCAAUGGGCGAAACCCUGACGAAGCAACGCCGCGUGGAGGAUGAAGGCCUUCGGGUCGUAAACUCCUGUCGACCGGGACGAAAGCUAUCCGACCCAAUACGUCGGGUAGUCGACUGUACCGGUAGAGGAAGCCACGGCUAACUCUGUGCCAGCAGCCGCGGUAAUACAGAGGUGGCAAGCGUUGUUCGGAAUUACUGGGCGUAAAGGGCGCGUAGGCGGUCUUUUAAGUUCCGUGUGAAAUCCCUCGGCUCAACUGGGGAACGGCACGGGAAACUGGAAGGCUUGAGUUCGGGAGAGGGAAGCGGAAUUCCGGGUGUAGCGGUGAAAUGCGUAGAUAUCCGGAGGAACACCGGUGGCGAAGGCGGCUUCCUGGACCGACACUGACGCUGAGGCGCGAAAGCUAGGGGAGCAAACGGGAUUAGAUACCCCGGUAGUCCUAGCUGUAAACGAUGAGUGCUGGGUGUAGGGGGUAUUCACCCCCCCUGUGCCGAAGCUAACGCAUUAAGCACUCCGCCUGGGGAGUACGGUCGCAAGGCUG